Molecule: long non-coding RNA, 727 nt
Filed under: Bos mutus (wild yak)
Lineage: Eukaryota; Metazoa; Chordata; Mammalia; Artiodactyla; Bovidae
Description: lncRNA (ENSBMUG00000025140.1)
Source: RNAcentral
CCGGAAUCUAAGUUUGAAACAGAAGGUGGCCCUUGCUACGUCCCUUUUGGGGCCCGUCCCUUGGCCUUUCUAAGCCUCAGUUUCUCCACCUGUGAAAUGGUCACCCUAACAACAGCGCUACCACGUUUGUGCCGCCCCGAGGUUGAGUGAGAAAAGGAACAUGCCGGAUCAACAUCGACGAUGUUCUCGUUUCUCUAGGUACCUCUGCUGUCCUUAACCUCCCGGGAUCUUCCGCCCACCCUGCCCAGGGCCUCUUCUGAUGGAGCAGACAGGGCGGCUUCACAGGGGACUGUUCAGCUGCACCUUCAUCUUAAGCAACAUAUGUGCAUUGAUGGAGCUUACCUGGUGCCAAGAAAGUGGUGAAAGGCAUGGAAAUAAGUCUCUGCACCUCAUCUACAUACCCGCACUCAGGAGAUGGAAGCAGAUGAGCAGCACUGGACUGACCUGCCCGAAGAAAUGUUCGACUGCACAAGCAUAGCCUUGGGGUGAGUCUCUGCCUCAAGAACAGGCUGAUAAACUCACUCUCAGUCACACAGGCUUUGGGCCUUCUAACUCCAGCCUCCUAGACUCAAAACCCCAGGUCAGCCCUGGAGACAGUCACAGCAUACUGCUGAUUCUCCCUUAUGCUUGCCAUUACUUCAUGCAAGAGUGCCCAGUGUGAAUGGAUGCCCUCCUCAGGCCCAGUCCACCACGGCUGGAGAUUGGGAUGUGUUACACAAAGGAGCUG